Molecule: ribosomal RNA, 274 nt
Filed under: uncultured bacterium
Lineage: Bacteria
Description: partial 16S ribosomal RNA
Rfam family: Bacterial small subunit ribosomal RNA
Source: RNAcentral
CUACGAAGGGGGCUAGCGUUGUUCGGAAUUACUGGGCGUAAAGCGCGCGUAGGCGGAUUGGUCAGUUAGGGGUGAAAUCCCAGGGCUUAACCCUGGAACUGCCUCUAAUACUGCCAGUCUUGAGUUCGGGAGAGGUGAGUGGAAUUCCUAGUGUAGAGGUGAAAUUCGUAGAUAUUAGGAAGAACACCAGUGGCGAAGGCGGCUCACUAGCCCGAUACUGACGCUGAGGCGCGAAAGCGUGGGGAGCAAACAGGAUUAGAUACCCCAGUAGUCC